This 253-nucleotide ribosomal RNA is filed under the name uncultured bacterium. RNAcentral's name for it is "partial 16S ribosomal RNA". It matches the Rfam family "Bacterial small subunit ribosomal RNA", at positions 524 to 776 of the family's 1533-position model. The record is from RNAcentral.
UACGAAGGGGGCUAGCGUUGCUCGGAAUCACUGGGCGUAAAGCGCACGUAGGCGGCUUUCUAAGUCAGGGGUGAAAUCCUGGAGCUCAACUCCAGAACUGCCUUUGAUACUGGAGAGCUAGAGUCCGGAAGAGGUGAGUGGAACUGCGAGUGUAGAGGUGAAAUUCGUAGAUAUUCGCAAGAACACCAGUGGCGAAGGCGGCUCACUGGUCCGGUACUGACGCUGAGGUGCGAAAGCGUGGGGAGCGAACAGG